RNAcentral lists this transfer RNA (101 nucleotides) under Dentipellis sp. KUC8613. It matches the Rfam family "tRNA". From Rfam's summary of the family: Transfer RNA (tRNA) molecules are approximately 80 nucleotides in length. Their secondary structure includes four short double-helical elements and three loops (D, anti-codon, and T loops). Lineage: Eukaryota; Fungi; Basidiomycota; Agaricomycetes; Russulales; Hericiaceae. The record is from Rfam by way of RNAcentral.
GCCCGCCUAGCUCAAUCGGAUAGAGCGUCAGACUCUUAAAGGCGGGUUUAUUCCUUCUCAUCGGAAUCUGAAGGCUGCGAGUUCGACCCUCGCGGUGGGCU